GUUCGAGACCAGCCUGACCAAUAUGGUGAAACCCCGCCUUUAAAAAAAUAAAAAUAAAAAAAAGACAUAGGUCAGAUCAAUUGAGCAGGACCAAAGAGUUGGGCUGCCCUGGUCACGUAACUGUGAUUAUUUCCAUUGUUUCUUCAUACACAGCUAUGUGACACAGCUUGCCCUUUAUAUCUGUAAAGGAGUUAAAUCUGUGGUUAAUUUGUGCGGCAUCCUCUCGCGGGCUUUUCUAGCCCUUUGGAAGAUCCCACUUGGAGGCAUUAGACAUAAUGGAAACUCAGGGUAUUUCUUUGCUUCUGAGUUGUUGGAAAUGAUUAGAUUGAAACUCAAUGUGUUGUUUUCUUUUCCCACCCCCACUCUUCAGAGAGAUAUCUGUGCCUUCUUUGCCGCAUUUACUGCGAGAAUGAAGACCAUUCUCAGCAAUUAGACUGUCGACAUUCCGGAAAAUGUCGACAUUACUCUGAAGGGACGCACAGUUAUCAUGAAGGGCCCCAGAGGAACCCUGCGGAGGGACUUCAAUCACAUCAAUGUAGAACUCAUUCUUCUUGGAAAGAAAAAAAAGAGGCUCCGGGUUGACAAAUGGUGGGGUAACUGAAAGGAACUUGCUACCGUUCGGACUAUUUGUAGUCAUGUACAGAAUGUGAUCAAGGGUGUUACCCUGGGCUUCCGUUACAAGAUGAGGCCUGUGUGUGCUCACUUCCCCAUCAACGUUGUUAUCCAGGAGAAUGGGUCUCUUGUUGAAAUCCGAAAUUUCCUGGGUGAAAAAUACAUUCGCACGGUUCGAAUGAGACCAGGUGUUGCUUGCUCAGUAUCUCAAGCCCAGAAAGAUGAAUUAAUCCUUGAAGGAAAUGACAUUGAGCCUGUUUCAAAUUCAGUGGCUUUGAUUCAGCAAGCUACAACAGUUAAAAACAAGGAUAUCUGGAAAUUUUUGGAUGGUAUCUAUGUCUCUGAGAAGGGAACUGUUCAGCAGGCUGAUGAGUAAGACCUUAGAGUUGUCCAGCUACAGAAACAAGAUGCCUAUCGUAGCUAAGACCUACUUGUGAUACUUAUGUGAUGCAAUAAAAGACCUAUUGAUUUGGAAAAAAAAAAAAAAAAAAAAAGGAAAGAUAUCUGUAUGUACAGGAUGGGAAUACCAUUGCCGGCAUGCAGUUUAUUCUUUUCUCCAAAGGUGUUUAUAUUAAAUAGUUCUGCUAUAACAUGGCGUAAGCAUUCCUAACAAUUACCACACUACGCCAAUUGCUCAACAAAAGCCAUAGAGAUUAUGAAAAAAUUGGAGUUAGGUAUAAAACAUUCAAAACUGCAUUAGUUACUCAUCACCAAAAAAAAAAAAAAAAAAAAAA
Sapajus apella (tufted capuchin) is the source of this 1346-nucleotide RNA transcript. It is a transcript of the gene named 60S ribosomal protein L9 pseudogene, with no coding region annotated. The transcript has a single exon. Lineage: Eukaryota; Metazoa; Chordata; Mammalia; Primates; Cebidae. The record is from RefSeq and is a predicted model, not a curated record.